This 1075-nucleotide long non-coding RNA is filed under the name Bemisia tabaci. Its description in RNAcentral is "lncRNA ENSSSA1NGG008127". The record is from RNAcentral. Lineage: Eukaryota; Metazoa; Arthropoda; Insecta; Hemiptera; Aleyrodidae.
CUGAGAAAAUGUGUCAAAUACAUUUUCAAAGAAGGUUUAGAUUCCAGAUUAGAAGAUGCCUUGCAGUUGGUUGAGGGACAAGAAGAUAGCCUAAAGAUGUUACCAUAUUAUCUUUACAUAGACAGUUUAAUUCAAUCAAAAAAAUAUGAAGAAGUAGCAGAAUUUUUGUUUGAAAAGCAGUUAGAUGAAACUGUGUUAGAACAAUGUUGUCGAUACAUUAUUCUAAAAUUUUCAACCCAUUUGGACUCCGGUGCUCAUGAAAUUAUAGACGCUGUCAUCAAAAUACUCCAAAAUUCGAAAGAAAAUUAGAAAAGACAAAUGCAGCCGCAGGCAUGAAUGGUUUCAACAAUUACAUAGAGAAAGCCCUGGUUUGCAAAAGUAUUAGUACAAUGAAGAGUGACUAUAAUUUUGAAGUUGAACUAAGUAGAUUACACGAAGACAGUUUGCGCAAAUUAGUCAUUCAGGAUUUUUAUAAAUCUAAUUUCAAAGGAAAUGAAUCAGAAGUAAUGGAUGCCACCGGUCCAUUUCAGAGAAUAUUAAAAUAAAUAUUUUAAUAAGUUAUGAAAUUUUGAUUCGGUCUAUAAACCAGUAUUUUCCUGGAGAAAUGACUGAUCUACUUCGAAAGGUGGUCUUACUGGCUGGCUUAAGUAUGGCUCACUCAUAUUCUAAGAAACUUUUUCUUUAAGUGUUAAAUCAUAUAGGCACUUGUCAAUGCUCUUUUAUUUUAUUUUUCAAACCAAGACUUCGAAGCUGUUUUAGAGUAGAUUCUUAGCCUUGAAUCAGAUGAUCAUCUCUGAUUUUCUCAAUCACCCCGAAUUUCUCCGGAAAAUUGAAUUUGUUUCUUGAGUGCCCAGUCUGUCCAGUUUUUGGGAGAAAAUUAAGAGCUCCCGCUCGUACCCAAUCUGAUCAAGAUGAACAGAUCAUUUUCGGGAUCAGCACUAAAAAUUUUCUCAGUGACAAAUGCUGAGUUGAUUGGAAGUUGAACUUCCUUGACCAAUGUCGUUUUUUAAGGAGUGAAAUGUUUAGAUCUUGAGGCAAAAUAAAGACAAUCUGAAUAAAAUCCAGAGGGGAGAAU